ACUGGAACUGAGACACGGUCCAGACUCCUACGGGAGGCAGCAGUAAGGAAUCUUCCACAAUGGGCGAAAGCCUGAUGGAGCAACGCCGCGUGCAGGAUGAAGGCCUUCGGGUUGUAAACUGCUUUUAUGAGUGAAGAAUAUGACGGUAACUCAUGAAUAAGCACCGGCCAACUACGUGCCAGCAGCCGCGGUCAUACGUAGGGUGCAAGCAUUAUCCGGAGUGACUGGGCGUAAAGAGUUGCGUAGGUGGUUAUGUAAGUGAAUAGUGAAACCUGGUGGCUCAACCAUACAGACUAUUAUUCAAACUGCAUAACUCGAGAGUGGUAGAGGUAACUGGAAUUUCUUGUGUAGGAGUGAAAUCCGUAGAUAUAAGAAGGAACACCAAUGGCGUAGGCAGGUUACUGGACCAUUUCUGACACUAAGGCACGAAAGCGUGGGGAGCGAACCGGAUUAGAUACCCGGGUAGUCCACGCCGUAAACGAUGGAUACUAGCUGUUGGAGGUAUCGACCCCUUCAGUAGCGAAGCUAACGCGUUAAGUAUCCCGCCUGUGGAGUACGGUCGCAAGACUAAAACAUAAAGGAAUUGACGGGGAUCAGCACAAGCGGUGGAUCGUGUUCUUUAAUUCGAUGAUAAACGAAGAACCUUACCAGG
Molecule: ribosomal RNA, 652 nt
Filed under: uncultured bacterium TM7LH21
Lineage: Bacteria; Candidatus Saccharimonadota
Description: bacterial SSU rRNA
Rfam family: Bacterial small subunit ribosomal RNA
Source: RNAcentral